Molecule: non-coding RNA, 45 nt
Filed under: Schistosoma curassoni
Lineage: Eukaryota; Metazoa; Platyhelminthes; Trematoda; Strigeidida; Schistosomatidae
Source: RNAcentral
AUACGGCUGACGAGUCACAAAUAGGAUGAAACGCGCGUCCUGAAU